UCCUGUUCCUCCUCAUAGGAGGCUCGGACAGACACAAGGGUACCGCUACCUCUGGGCAGUUCAGAUAAAUCGUUUAACAGCACAUUAACAGGCCUUUAUUUACACACUCUUUCCAUUUUGCAAUUGAAAAAAAAAACCCUGCUCAUUCGUCUUUUAAAUUAAAGACGACUCAGAGCCUCCGGUUGGUCACCUGUACACCGUGGACCGUGCAAAUGAACAGCCUGUUGCUUGCUUUGGAAGGAUCCAAUCGUGGGAAUGUGUGGGCUAUGUAUUUUCACUUUCUCAGACGUCUGCCCUUAACUCUUCCAGGGGUUGGUGUACUCUUGGACAUCUGGGGUCAUUUUGGGGCCUACCAAGGAAGCCACAAUCCCCCCCCCC
Molecule: long non-coding RNA, 378 nt
Organism: Gadus morhua (Atlantic cod)
Lineage: Eukaryota; Metazoa; Chordata; Actinopteri; Gadiformes; Gadidae
Exons: 3
Source: RefSeq, a predicted model, not a curated record